UUUCCGUAGGUGAACCUGCGGAAGGAUCAUUCAUAAUAAGUGUUUUAUGGCACUUUUUUAAAUCCAUAUCCACCUUGUGUGCAAUGUCAGGGUUGAUUUUUCUCUCGAGAGGAUCAGCCCCAAACAUCAACUAUAUCUCAACUCUUUGUCUGAAAAAUAUAUGAAUAAAACAAUUCAAAAUACAACUUUCAACAACGGAUCUCUUGGCUCUC
This 212-nucleotide unclassified non-coding RNA is filed under the name plant metagenome. Its description in RNAcentral is "partial contains small subunit ribosomal RNA, internal transcribed spacer 1, and 5.8S ribosomal RNA". The record is from RNAcentral.